This 445-nucleotide ribosomal RNA is filed under the name uncultured bacterium. Its description in RNAcentral is "bacterial SSU rRNA". It matches the Rfam family "Bacterial small subunit ribosomal RNA", at positions 330 to 792 of the family's 1533-position model. The record is from RNAcentral.
GCCAGACUCCUACGGGAGGCAGCAGUGGGGAAUAUUGCACAAUGGGGGAAACCCUGAUGCAGCGACGCCGCGUGAGUGAAGAAGUAAUUCGUUAUGUAAAGCUCUCUCAGCAGGGAAGAAAAUGACGGUACCUGAGUAAGAAGCCCCGGCUAACUACGUGCCAGCAGCCGCGGUAAUACGUAGGGGGCAAGCGUUAUCCGGAUUUACUGGGUGUAAAGGGAGCGUAGACGGCAGUGCAAGUCUGGAGUGAAAGGCGGAGGCUCAACCCCCGGACUGCUCUGGAAACUGUACGGCUGGAGUGCAGGAGAGGUAAGUGGAAUUCCUAGUGUAGCGGUGAAAUGCGUAGAUAUUAGGAGGAACACCAGUGGCGAAGGCGGCUUACUGGACUGUAACUGACGUUGAGGCUCGAAAGCGUGGGGAGCAAACAGGAUUAGAUACCCCAGUA